This 473-nucleotide ribosomal RNA is filed under the name uncultured bacterium. RNAcentral describes it as "bacterial SSU rRNA". It matches the Rfam family "Bacterial small subunit ribosomal RNA", at positions 329 to 795 of the family's 1533-position model. The record is from RNAcentral.
GCCCAGACUCCUAUGGGAGGCAGCAGUGGGGAAUCUUCCGCAAUGGGCGAAAGCCUGACGGAGCAACGCCGCGUGAUCGAAUGAAGGCCUUCGGGUUGUAAAGAUCUGUUGACAGGGACGAAUAAGCAAUGCGAAUAGUUUUGUGUAUGACGGUACCUGUUUAGAAAGCUCCGGCUAACUACGUGCCAGCAGCCGCGGUAAUACGUAGGGAGCAAGCGUUGUCCGGAAUUACUGGGCGUAAAGGGCGCGUAGGUGGGCGCUUAAGUCAGGUGUGAAAACUCCGGGCUCAACCUGGAGACUGCACUUGAAACUGGGUGUCUUGAGGGCAGGAGAGGAAAGUGGAAUUCCUAGUGUAGCGGUGAAAUGCGUAGAUAUUAGGAGGAACACCAGUGGCGAAGGCGGAUGACUGGACGGCAACUGACGGUGAGGCGCGAAAGCGUGGGGAGCAAACAGGAUUAGAUACCCCCGUAGUA